RNAcentral lists this ribosomal RNA (1545 nucleotides) under Salmonella enterica. Its description in RNAcentral is "partial 23S ribosomal RNA". It matches the Rfam family "Bacterial large subunit ribosomal RNA", at positions 711 to 2236 of the family's 2925-position model. The record is from RNAcentral. Lineage: Bacteria; Pseudomonadati; Pseudomonadota; Gammaproteobacteria; Enterobacterales; Enterobacteriaceae. RNAcentral also lists the same sequence under 1 other name.
AGACCCGAAACCCGGUGAUCUAGCCAUGGGCAGGUUGAAGGUUGGGUAACACUAACUGGAGGACCGAACCGACUAAUGUUGAAAAAUUAGCGGAUGACCUGUGGCUGGGGGUGAAAGGCCAAUCAAACCGGGAGAUAGCUGGUUCUCCCCGAAAGCUAUUUAGGUAGCGCCUCGUGAAUUCAUCUCCGGGGGUAGAGCACUGUUUCGGCUAGGGGGCCAUCCCGGCUUACCAACCCGAUGCAAACUGCGAAUACCGGAGAAUGUUAUCACGGGAGACACACGGCGGGUGCUAACGUCCGUCGUGAAGAGGGAAACAACCCAGACCGCCAGCUAAGGUCCCAAAGUCAUGGUUAAGUGGGAAACGAUGUGGGAAGGCCCAGACAGCCAGGAUGUUGGCUUAGAAGCAGCCAUCAUUUAAAGAAAGCGUAAUAGCUCACUGGUCGAGUCGGCCUGCGCGGAAGAUGUAACGGGGCUAAACCAUGCACCGAAGCUGCGGCAGCGACGCUUAUGCGUUGUUGGGUAGGGGAGCGUUCUGUAAGCCUGUGAAGGUGUGUCGUGAGGCAUGCUGGAGGUAUCAGAAGUGCGAAUGCUGACAUAAGUAACGAUAAAGCGGGUGAAAAGCCCGCUCGCCGGAAGACCAAGGGUUCCUGUCCAACGUUAAUCGGGGCAGGGUGAGUCGACCCCUAAGGCGAGGCCGAAAGGCGUAGUCGAUGGGAAACGGGUUAAUAUUCCCGUACUUGGUGUUACUGCGAAGGGGGGACGGAGAAGGCUAUGUUGGCCGGGCGACGGUUGUCCCGGUUUAAGCGUGUAGGUGUGUGUUCCAGGUAAAUCCGGUUCACUUUAACACUGAGGCGUGACGACGAGGCACUACGGUGCUGAAGCAACAAAUGCCCUGCUUCCAGGAAAAGCCUCUAAGCAUCAGGUAACAUCAAAUCGUACCCCAAACCGACACAGGUGGUCAGGUAGAGAAUACCAAGGCGCUUGAGAGAACUCGGGUGAAGGAACUAGGCAAAAUGGUGCCGUAACUUCGGGAGAAGGCACGCUGACACGUAGGUGAAGUGAUUUACUCAUGGAGCUGAAGUCAGUCGAAGAUACCAGCUGGCUGCAACUGUUUAUUAAAAACACAGCACUGUGCAAACACGAAAGUGGACGUAUACGGUGUGACGCCUGCCCGGUGCCGGAAGGUUAAUUGAUGGGGUCAGCGCAAGCGAAGCUCCUGAUCGAAGCCCCGGUAAACGGCGGCCGUAACUAUAACGGUCCUAAGGUAGCGAAAUUCCUUGUCGGGUAAGUUCCGACCUGCACGAAUGGCGUAAUGAUGGCCAGGCUGUCUCCACCCGAGACUCAGUGAAAUUGAACUCGCUGUGAAGAUGCAGUGUACCCGCGGCAAGACGGAAAGACCCCGUGAACCUUUACUAUAGCUUGACACUGAACAUUGAGCCUUGAUGUGUAGGAUAGGUGGGAGGCUUUGAAGUGUGGACGCCAGUCUGCAUGGAGCCGACCUUGAAAUACCACCCUUUAAUGUUUGAUGUUCUAACGUGGACCCGU